CUUUACUGUAGCCUGGAAUUGGGUUCGGGCUUUAACUGCGCAGGAUAGGUGGGAGGCUAUGAGGUUAUGCUUGUGGGCAUAACGGAGCCAACGGUGAGAUACCACUCUGUUAAGGCUAGAAUUCUAACUUGUGCCCGUUAUCCGGGACGAGAACAGUUUCAGGUGGGCAGUUUGACUGGGGCGGUCGCCUCCUAAAAUGUAACGGAGGCGCGCAAAGGUUCUCUCAGGCUGGUUGGAAAUCAGCCGUAGAGUGUAAAAGCACAAGAGAGCUUGACUGUGAGAGAAACACCUCGAGCAGGGACGAAAGUCGGCUUUAGUGAUCCGACGGCGCUGCGUGGAAAGGCCGUCGCUAAACGGAUAAAAGUUA
Molecule: ribosomal RNA, 367 nt
Filed under: uncultured organism
Description: bacterial LSU rRNA
Rfam family: Bacterial large subunit ribosomal RNA
Source: RNAcentral